AUGACUGAACCAAGAGAUCUGGUGUAUAAGGAGAACAGCAGAGGACCCAGUACAGAACCCUGCGGCACUCCCGUAACAAGUGGAUGAGAAGCAGAGGCAGAUCCCUUCCAGGUGACCUGGUAGGUCCUAUCUGCAAGAUAGGAAGCGAACCAAGACAGGGCAGUCCCGGCAAUUCCCAUCCCAGCCAAGGUGGAGAGGAGUGUUUUAUGUUUGACCGUGUCAAAAGCUGCAGACAGGUCAAGAAGGAUCAGGACAGAGGAGAGGCGUGAGGCUCUUGCAGUGGCAAGUGCCUCCGUCACAGCUAGGAGCGCAGUCUCUGUUGAGUGCCCUGAUCGGAAGCCAGACUGGUGAGGGUCUAGCAGGUUGUUCUGAUGAGGAAAAGAGGUUAGUUGUUUAAGAACUGGUCGUUCAAGGGUUUUGGACAGAAAGGGUAGAAGCGAUACGGGUCGAUAAUUCGUUACAUCUGAGGGGUCUGAGGUGGGUUUUUUGAGAAGUGGGGUAACACGAGCCAUCUUAAAAACAGAGGGAACAUGACCAGAGGAGAGAGAGGAAUUAACAAUAGAGGACAGAUAGGGAAGGAGCUCGCUGGAAAUGGAUUGGAGAACUUAAGAUGGGAUGGGGUCAAGUGGACAGGUGGUUGCACGAUGAGCGGUGAUGAGUUGUAAUACAUCGGAGUCCUCCAGCAUUGCAAAGGAGGUCAGUGUGGCUGCGGGUUUGUCCCGGGGGGUUGGGGGGCUCACUGGAUGGGCGAAGGAGUUCCGGAUUGUAGCCACCUUUCCUUCAAAUGCGGCCAGAAAGUCAUCUGCGGAGAGGGAAGAGGGAGGUGGGGGUGGAGGAGGAAUGAGGAGGGAAGAGAAGGUGGAGAAUAGUUUGAAAUGGUGCAGGAAACCAGGGUCGCCUAAUGAAGCAGCUUUCAAAUACACUGAAGAGAAUGUGGAAGUUGACUUAUAAAACCUUCACACAGAAGCUGGAUCAGUGUGCUCAUGUCAAAUGAAGAACAUUUGAGAGCUCAGGAUUAUUUUUCAAUGUGAUGCUUCUCAGCUUGCAGGAGGGGAAAUCCUGAUUGGGGGUGCAGUCAUGGGGACACUCAGUGAGUUUUGGGAAUGAAGCAGUUGUGCCUUUAGGGUGCAGGAUCUGUGUAAUAUAUCUGAGGUUCUGAUUCACCAGAGCUGCACUUGUGAUCUUUGUCUAAGUUAGUCAGCUUUGAUUGCUGUGUGUUUGUUUCAGGUCCUACGUUGAACUCUAUAUAUUAUGUAGUAAAAUUGCCGCAAGCUUACAUACAGCCUAAACAGCUGAGACUCUGCAACAUGUUCAACAUGCAUUUUAUGUGUCUGCUUUUAUUAGUAUUACAUUAAAUGGACUUUAAAGUGUG
Long non-coding RNA from Anguilla rostrata (American eel), 1372 nucleotides. RefSeq lists it as uncharacterized. The transcript is spliced from 2 exons. The record is from RefSeq and is a predicted model, not a curated record. NCBI's taxonomy places the organism in Eukaryota, Metazoa, Chordata, Actinopteri, Anguilliformes, Anguillidae.